GACGAACGCUGGCGGCGUGCUUAACACAUGCAAGUCGAACGAAGAGCGACGGAAGCUUGCUUCUCUCAAUCUUAGUGGCGAACGGGUGAGUAACGCGUAAUCAACCUGCCCUUCAGAGGGGGACAACAGUUGGAAACGACUGCUAAUACCGCAUACGAUCUAACCUCGGCAUCGAGGAUAGAUGAAAGGUGGCCUCUACAUGUAAGCUAUCACUGAAGGAGGGGAUUGCGUCUGAUUAGCUAGUUGGAGGGGUAACGGCCCACCAAGGCGAUGAUCAGUAGCCGGUCUGAGAGGAUGAACGGCCACAUUGGGACUGAGACACGGCCCAGACUCCUACGGGAGGCAGCAGUGGGGAAUCUUCCGCAAUGGACGAAAGUCUGACGGAGCAACGCCGCGUGAGUGAUGACGGCCUUCGGGUUGUAAAGCUCUGUUAAUCGGGACGAAAGGCCUUCUUGCGAAUAGUGAGAAGGAUUGACGGUACCGGAAUAGAAAGCCACGGCUAACUACGG
RNAcentral lists this ribosomal RNA (509 nucleotides) under uncultured bacterium. Its description in RNAcentral is "partial 16S ribosomal RNA". It matches the Rfam family "Bacterial small subunit ribosomal RNA", at positions 28 to 506 of the family's 1533-position model. The record is from RNAcentral.